Molecule: transfer RNA, 76 nt
Filed under: Rhodospirillales bacterium RIFCSPLOWO2_01_FULL_65_14
Lineage: Bacteria; Pseudomonadati; Pseudomonadota; Alphaproteobacteria; Rhodospirillales
Description: tRNA-Asn
Rfam family: tRNA
About the family: Transfer RNA (tRNA) molecules are approximately 80 nucleotides in length. Their secondary structure includes four short double-helical elements and three loops (D, anti-codon, and T loops). Further hydrogen bonds mediate the characteristic L-shaped molecular structure. tRNAs have two regions of fundamental functional importance: the anti-codon, which is responsible for specific mRNA codon recognition, and the 3' end, to which the tRNAs corresponding amino acid is attached (by aminoacyl-tRNA synthetases). tRNAs cope with the degeneracy of the genetic code in two manners: having more than one tRNA (with a specific anti-codon) for a particular amino acid; and 'wobble' base-pairing, i.e. permitting non-standard base-pairing at the 3rd anti-codon position.
Source: RNAcentral
UCCGGCGUAGCUCAGUUGGUAGAGCAAGCGGCUGUUAACCGCUAGGUCGCAGGUUCGAGUCCUGCCGCCGGAGCCA